Molecule: ribosomal RNA, 2433 nt
Filed under: Triticum aestivum (bread wheat)
Lineage: Eukaryota; Viridiplantae; Streptophyta; Magnoliopsida; Poales; Poaceae
Description: partial small subunit ribosomal RNA
Source: RNAcentral
AUGGAGGAGGGCGCUGCCGGAGUAGGAGGAGGGGUUGGGGGCGGCGGCGUCGCCGGCGCCGGCGCCGGCGAUCGAUCGAGCUUCGUGAUCGGCCUCAUCGAGAACCGAGCCAAGGAGGUUGGUGUUGCGGCAUUUGAUUUGAGAUCAGCCUCACUGCACCUAUCUCAGUAUAUCGAGACGAGCUGUUCAUACCAUAAUACGAAGACACUACUGCAUUUCUAUGAUCCGAAUACUGUAAUUGUGCCCCCAAAUAAAACCGCGGCAGAUGGUAUGGUUGGGGUUUCAGAGCUGGUUGAUAAAAAUUACCAAGCAAGCAAAAAGGUCACAAUGGCACGUGGUUGCUUUGAUGAUACCAAGGGGGCGGUUAUGGUAAAAAAUCUGUCGGCUAGAGACCCAUCUGCACUUGGUUUGGAUACUUACUGCAAGCAGUACUAUCUUUGUCUUGCUGCGGCCUCUGCAACAAUUAAGUGGAUAGAAUCAGAAAAAGGUGUAAUUAUUACUAACCAUUCACUAUCAGUUACAUUCAACGGCUCAUUUGACCAUAUGAACAUCGAUUCAACUAGUGUUCAAACAUUAGAAAUAAUUGACCCUCUCCAUACUGAACUGUGGGGUACUAGCAACAAAAAGAAAAGUCUCUUUCAGAUGUUGAAGACUACAAAGACUACGGGAGGGUCUAGACUACUGAGAGCCAACUUAUUACAGCCACUAAAAGAUAUUCAAACUAUCAAUGCUCGGCUUGACUGCUUGGAUGAGCUAGUGAGCAACGAGGAACUAUUCUUUGGCUUGACACAAGGUCUCCGUAAAUUUCCAAAAGAAUCAGAUAAGGUUCUCUGUCACUUUUGCUUCAAACCCAAAAAGGUCACAGAUGAGGUACUGAAGCCUGCCAAUGGUCGGAAGAGCCAAUUGUUGAUAUCUGACAUUAUUGUUCUAAAAACUGCUCUGGAUGCAAUACCAUUCCUCUCCAAGGUUCUGAAGGGGGCGAACAGUUUUCUUCUUCAGAACAUUUAUCAGACCAUAUGUGAAAACCCAAAGUAUGGGAGCAUGAGAAAGAGAAUCGGAGAAGUGAUUGAUGAAGAUGUUAUUCAUUCAAGGGCUCCUUUUGUAGCCUGCACUCAGCAAUGUUUCGCUAUUAAGCCAGGGAUUGAUGGCCUACUUGAUGUUGCUCGUCGAUCCUUCUGCGAUACAAGCGAAGCCAUACAUAACCUUGCCACCAAGUACAGAGAGGAGUUUACUCUGCCAAAUUUGAAGAUACCGUAUAACAAUAGACUGGGGUUUUACUUUAUUAUACCCCAGAGGGAUAUUACUGAAAAGCUUCCUAAUAAAUUUAUCCAGGUUGUUAGGCAUGGGAAGAAUGUCCAUUGCUCAAGCUUUGAGCUAGCUUCGCUAAAUGUUAGGAACAAGUCGGCUGCUGCUGAGUGCUUCUUGCGCACUGAACUCUGUUUAGAAGGACUUAUUAGUGAGAUCAGAGAAGACAUUCGUAUCUUAACAAUGCUCGCAGAAGUAUUAUGUCUUUUGGACAUGAUUGUAAAUUCUUUUGCCUAUACAAUAUCUACAAAGCCUGUUGAUCGGUACACUAGACCGGAGUUCACAGGUGAUGGUCCAAUGGCAAUCAAUGCUGGACGGCAUCCUAUUCUGGAGUGCUUACAUACUGAUUUUGUUCCAAAUAAUAUCUUCCUUUCCGAAGCAUCGAAUAUGGUUCUUGUCAUGGGGCCAAACAUGAGUGGAAAAAGUACAUAUCUUCAACAGAUUUGUCUAAUAGUUAUUCUUGCGCAAGUCGGCUGUUAUGUCCCAGCUCAAUUUGCAUCACUGAGAGUGGUUGAUCGUAUAUUUACACGCAUAGGCACUGGAGAUAAUGUUGAAAACAACUCGAGCACGUUUAUGACAGAAAUGAAAGAGACAGCUUUCAUCAUGCAAAAUGUUUCUUCAAGGAGCUUGGUUGUAGUGGAUGAGCUUGGAAGAGCUACUUCUUCCUCUGAUGGGUUGGCAAUUGCAUGGAGCUGCUGCGAGCACCUGCUAUCCCUCAAAGGGUACACUGUGUUUGCGACACACAUGGAGGGCUUGUCAGAGCUCGCAACAAUGUAUCCAAACGUGAAGAUCCUCCAUUUCGAGGUUGACUUGAGGAAUGGUCGCUUGGAUUUCAAGUUCCGGCUGAAGGAUGGUGUCCGACGGGUACCGCACUAUGGGCUUCUGCUAGCCAGAGUGGCCGGCCUCCCUGCUUCAGUGAUCGACACCGCGACCAGUAUCACUUCACGUAUCACAGAGCAGGAAAUGGUUAGGAUGGAUGCGAACUGUGUGCAGUACCAGCCACUGAGGAUGGCGUACCAGGCCGUGCAACGGCUCAUCUGCUUGAAGUACUCGAACCAAGGGGACGACUACAUCCGUGAAGCAUUGCAGGACCUCAAGGAGAGUUACGCCGCAGGCAAUUUGAUAUGA